GCCCCCAUAGUAAAAAGGAUAUUACAAACCCCUCCUAAGGGUUAGUUGCAGGUUCGAUUCCUACUGGGGGUGCCA
RNAcentral lists this transfer RNA (75 nucleotides) under Erysipelotrichaceae bacterium. RNAcentral's name for it is "tRNA-Arg". It matches the Rfam family "tRNA". From Rfam's summary of the family: Transfer RNA (tRNA) molecules are approximately 80 nucleotides in length. Their secondary structure includes four short double-helical elements and three loops (D, anti-codon, and T loops). Further hydrogen bonds mediate the characteristic L-shaped molecular structure. tRNAs have two regions of fundamental functional importance: the anti-codon, which is responsible for specific mRNA codon recognition, and the 3' end, to which the tRNAs corresponding amino acid is attached (by aminoacyl-tRNA synthetases). tRNAs cope with the degeneracy of the genetic code in two manners: having more than one tRNA (with a specific anti-codon) for a particular amino acid; and 'wobble' base-pairing, i.e. permitting non-standard base-pairing at the 3rd anti-codon position. RNAcentral also lists the same sequence under 2 other names. Lineage: Bacteria; Bacillati; Bacillota; Erysipelotrichia; Erysipelotrichales; Erysipelotrichaceae. The record is from RNAcentral.